RNAcentral lists this long non-coding RNA (2479 nucleotides) under Sus scrofa (pig). RNAcentral's name for it is "lncRNA (ENSSSCG00055026573.1)". The record is from RNAcentral. Lineage: Eukaryota; Metazoa; Chordata; Mammalia; Artiodactyla; Suidae.
GGCUGUAACCAGAGCCACAAUAGUGACAGUGCCAGGUCCUUAACCUGCUGAGUUACAAGGGAAUUCCAGCAAUUAUUUCUUUUGGCUUUUUAGGGCUGUAACUGGGGCAUAUAGGAGUUCCCAGGCUAGGGGUUGAAUUGGAGCUACAGCUGCCAUCUACACCAUAGCCACAAUAAUGCCAGAUCUGAGCCGCAUCUGCAGAUCAGCAGAUCAGCAGAUCUGCUCAUGGCAAUGCCACUGCUCAUGGCAAUGCUGGAUCCUGAACCCACUGAGCAAGGCCAGGGAUCCAACCCAUGUCCUCGUGGAUACUAGUCAGGCUUGUUACUGCUGAGCCACGACAGGAACUCCAAGUAUUAAUUUCAUUAGAUGUCUAUUCCACACAUAUUUCCUGAAGGGGACAACCUGCCUCAGCAUCCGAGGCAGAAUGAGGCGCGGUUCUCCUCAGUGAGCUCCCAUGUCGGGGAGACCGAGGGGGAAAUGAGAGAUGAAGAGAUGCAGGGGCUGAGAAGGAGGGUCUACAAGGUGGAGCGAGCAGACACAAAGGAGGCAGCAGAGUCCAGAGGCUGAUGGAAGAAGGCAGUCCUUGGAGUUUUGCACUUUGAUCCUCUUAACAGAGGGCUUGGGUCUAGGAGUACUUUUGAGAAGUUUCCAUCAGGGCCAGUGUCACUCCAACACUACGAGUGAGGAGAUGGCAGGAAUCCCAGGCGCAGCCACGGUACAUAGGUAGGUAUCACGAGAGACUAGAAAUGCCGUUUGGGAUGGAGGACCAUCCAUGACACAAGAAAUACAUGCUGCAAGAACCCUAGUCUGGGUCCCAUAUUGCUGUUUCUACCAAAAGCUAUUCUCACUGGGAUGGAAGAUCUGGACCUGGUCAGCGGGAACUGUGGAAGCCUGGGGAAUGUCAGUGCUUUGGCUUUCUCAUCUCUGUGUGAGGGUGAUAAGAGGAAAACAGUGCCUUCUCCACUGACCUCUCAGGGCUGUUGUGAGGCUCAAAGUGGAUAAUGCCUGUGAGGGUGUUUCAUAAGUGGGUCCUAAGUACUGGCAGUCAUUAUUAUUAGUACUGCAAAAUGCCAUUUUCUGCAUCCUUCUCUGACUAAGUGGAAAGUCUUUGUGUUGCCCUGCUCUGAGGAGGUCAUUCCUAUCACUUCUGAGAUGCCCUUUGCAACACGGAAGCUUGUCAGCAGUGCUGCAUCUGGAGUAACCUCCUCUUAAAGUUAGACUAAUGGGUUAAUUUUUUAUAAGCAAACACAACAUGAAGCAGACCUGUUUAGAUCGAGGUUUUAUGCCUAAUGCUCAGAGGGCUACAUAACUAAAUCAUAGGUUGCAUCCCGUGAAAUAUUCAGAGGCUCGACAUCCCUCUUGCAUAUUCCUGUUGCUUGUGUCCAGGCGGUGUCUGUGUUCCAUAACAUGUGCGUGUGGGCGCCCACACUCAUACGUGAGUUGGGCAUGGAGUCAGGAAAGAAGGCAAUUGUAUAAAAUAUUAUAUGAUGGUAAUUUCAGCCUCAGUUCACAUGACAAUUAUCCUGGCUUCAAGAAUGAAUGUCCCUUGUCUAUGGCAGAUAGCAUCCAUUGCAAAGAACCAUUUCCAUCAGUGAAUAAAGAUGAUAAACACAAAUGUAAUAAAUAUAAGCCAGAGAUUCAUCUUCUACCAUCUACUUCACUGGACAUUGUCUGAACAACAGUCCUGGUUUUAACCUUCUCAGGUCUGUUCUUUUGGAAUCCCAAGGGUAGGAAGGACCCAGCAUGUCACCCUGCUUUAUCCAUGUCUCCAGGCAAGAUGCCCCCCAAACAAAACCUAAUGGGGGUAAAAAUGUCCUUGAUACUCCUAUGACAACACCCUUAAGACUUUAAAACUCUGAAUCUUGAACAGAGUAAGAAGAUAUGGUACAUAUAUGCACAAUGGAAUACUACUUAGCCAUAAACAUGAAUGAAAUAAUGCCAUCUGCAGCAACAUGAAUACAACUAGAGAUUCUGAUACUAAGUGAAAUAAGUCAGAAAGAGAAAGACAAAUACUGUAUUAUAUCAAUUCAAUGUGGAAUCUAAAAUAUGGCACCAAUGAAUCUACCUUCAGAACAGAAAAAGACUCACAGACAUGGGAACAGAGCAGACUUAACGGUUGCCAAGCGGGAGGGGAGAGGGAGAGAAAUAGUCUGAGAGUUUGGGGUUAGCAGAUGCAAACUAUUACAUUUAGAAUGGAGGGGAGUUCCCGUCGGGGCGCUGUGGUUAACGAAUCCGACUAGGAACCAUGAGGUUGCGGGUUCCGUCCCUGCCCUUGCUGAGUGGGUUAAUGAUCCGGCGUUGCCGUGAGCUGUGGUGUAGGUUGCAGACACAAGGCUCGGAUCUGAUGUUGCUGUGGCGGUGGCAUAGGCCAGCAGCUACAGCUCCGAUUCCAUCCCUAGCCGGGGAACCUCCAUAUGCCUCAAAUGCAGCCCUAAAAAAAAUUAAAAAGUAAAAAAUAAAAUAAUAAAAUAAAAUAAAA